This 178-nucleotide small nuclear RNA is filed under the name Carassius auratus (goldfish). RNAcentral's name for it is "U2 spliceosomal RNA (ENSCARG00000026025.1)". It matches the Rfam family "U2 spliceosomal RNA". From Rfam's summary of the family: U2 is a small nuclear RNA (snRNA) component of the spliceosome (involved in pre-mRNA splicing). Complementary binding between U2 snRNA (in an area lying towards the 5' end but 3' to hairpin I) and the branchpoint sequence (BPS) of the intron results the bulging out of an unpaired adenosine, on the BPS, which initiates a nucleophilic attack at the intronic 5' splice site, thus starting the first of two transesterification reactions that mediate splicing. The record is from Rfam by way of RNAcentral. Lineage: Eukaryota; Metazoa; Chordata; Actinopteri; Cypriniformes; Cyprinidae.
AUAAAAUUUUUUCAAAAAAGAAAAAUCUGUUCUUAUCAGUUUAAUAUCUGAUACGUCCCCCAUCCGGGGACUACAUAUUAAAUGGAUUUUUAGAUCACGGAGCUGGAGCCGGGGCUUGCUCCGUCCACUCCAUGCAUCGGCCUGGUAUUGCAGUGUCUCCAGGAACGGUGUGCUUUCC